AGCGUACACGGUGGAUGCCCUGGCAGUCAGAGGCGAUGAAGGACGUGCUAAUCUGCGAAAAGCGUCGGUAAGGUGAUAUGAACCGUUAUAACCGGCGAUGUCCGAAUGGGGAAACCCAGUGUGAUUCGUCACACUAUCGUUAACUGAAUACAUAGGUUAACGAGGCGAACCGGGGGAACUGAAACAUCUAAGUACCCCGAGGAAAAGAAAUCAACCGAGAUUCCCCCAGUAGCGGCGAGCGAACGGGGAGCAGCCCAGAGUCUGAAUCAGCUUGUGUGUUAGUGGAACGGUCUGGAAAGUCCGACGGUACAGGGUGAUAGUCCCGUACACCAAAAUGCACAGGCUGUGAACUCGAAGAGUAGGGCGGGACACGUGGUAUCCUGUCUGAAUAUGGGGGGACCAUCCUCCAAGGCUAAAUACUCCUGACUGACCGAUAGUGAACCAGUACCGUGAGGGAAAGGCGAAAAGAACCCCGGCGAGGGGAGUGAAAAAGAACCUGAAACCGUGUACGUACAAGCAGUGGGAGCACCUUCGGGUGUGACUGCGUACCUUUUGUAUAAUGGGUCAGCGACUUAUAUUCUGUAGCAAGGUUAACCGUAUAGGGGAGCCGCAGGGAAACCGAGUCUUAACUGGGCGUUAAGUUGCAGGGUAUAGACCCGAAACCCGGUGAUCUAGCCAUGGGCAGGUUGAAGGUUGGGUAACACUAACUGGAGGACCGAACCGACUAAUGUUGAAAAAUUAGCGGAUGACUUGUGGCUGGGGGUGAAAGGCCAAUCAAACCGGGAGAUAGCUGGUUCUCCCCGAAAGCUAUUUAGGUAGCGCCUCGUGAAUUCAUCUUCGGGGGUAGAGCACUGUUUCGGCUAGGGGGUCAUCCCGACUUACCAACCCGAUGCAAACUACGAAUACCGAAGAAUGUUAUCACGGGAGACACACGGCGGGUGCUAACGUCCGUCGUGAAGAGGGAAACAACCCAGACCGCCAGCUAAGGUCCCAAAGUCAUGGUUAAGUGGGAAACGAUGUGGGAAGGCACAGACAGCCAGGAUGUUGGCUUAGAAGCAGCCAUCAUUUAAAGAAAGCGUAAUAGCUCACUGGUCGAGUCGGCCUGCGCGGAAGAUGUAACGGGGCUAAACCAUGCACCGAAGCUGCGGCAGCGACACUAUGUGUUGUUGGGUAGGGGAGCGUUCUGUAAGCCUGCGAAGGUGUGCUGUGAGGCAUGCUGGAGGUAUCAGAAGUGCGAAUGCUGACAUAAGUAACGAUAAAGCGGGUGAAAAGCCCGCUCGCCGGAAGACCAAGGGUUCCUGUCCAACGUUAAUCGGGGCAGGGUGAGUCGACCCCUAAGGCGAGGCCGAAAGGCGUAGUCGAUGGGAAACAGGUUAAUAUUCCUGUACUUGGUGUUACUGCGAAGGGGGGACGGAGAAGGCUAUGUUAGCCGGGCGACGGUUGUCCCGGUUUAAGCAUGUAGGCUGGUUGUCCAGGCAAAUCCGGAUAAUCAAGGCUGAGGUGUGAUGACGAGGCACUACGGUGCUGAAGUAACAAAUGCCCUGCUUCCAGGAAAAGCCUCUAAGCAUCAGGUAACAUCAAAUCGUACCCCAAACCGACACAGGUGGUCAGGUAGAGAAUACCAAGGCGCUUGAGAGAACUCGGGUGAAGGAACUAGGCAAAAUGGUGCCGUAACUUCGGGAGAAGGCACGCUGGUGUGUAGGUGAAGUCCCUGCGGAUGGAGCUGAGACCAGUCGAAGAUACCAGCUGGCUGCAACUGUUUAUUAAAAACACAGCACUGUGCAAACACGAAAGUGGACGUAUACGGUGUGACGCCUGCCCGGUGCCGGAAGGUUAAUUGAUGGGGUUAUCCGUAAGGAGAAGCUCUUGAUCGAAGCCCCGGUAAACGGCGGCCGUAACUAUAACGGUCCUAAGGUAGCGAAAUUCCUUGUCGGGUAAGUUCCGACCUGCACGAAUGGCGUAAUGAUGGCCAGGCUGUCUCCACCCGAGACUCAGUGAAAUUGAACUCGCUGUGAAGAUGCAGUGUACCCGCGGCAAGACGGAAAGACCCCGUGAACCUUUACUAUAGCUUGACACUGAACAUUGAGCCUUGAUGUGUAGGAUAGGUGGGAGGCUUUGAAGCGUGGACGCCAGUCUGCGUGGAGCCAACCUUGAAAUACCACCCUUUAAUGUUUGAUGUUCUAACGUUGGCCCCUUACCGGGGUUGCGGACAGUGUCUGGUGGGUAGUUUGACUGGGGCGGUCUCCUCCCAAAGCGUAACGGAGGAGCACGAAGGUUAGCUAAUCCUGGUCGGACAUCAGGAGGUUAGUGCAAUGGCAUAAGCUAGCUUGACUGCGAGCGUGACGGCGCGAGCAGGUGCGAAAGCAGGUCAUAGUGAUCCGGUGGUUCUGAAUGGAAGGGCCAUCGCUCAACGGAUAAAAGGUACUCCGGGGAUAACAGGCUGAUACCGCCCAAGAGUUCAUAUCGACGGCGGUGUUUGGCACCUCGAUGUCGGCUCAUCACAUCCUGGGGCUGAAGUAGGUCCCAAGGGUAUGGCUGUUCGCCAUUUAAAGUGGUACGCGAGCUGGGUUUAGAACGUCGUGAGACAGUUCGGUCCCUAUCUGCCGUGGGCGCUGGAGAAUUGAGGGGGGCUGCUCCUAGUACGAGAGGACCGGAGUGGACGCAUCACUGGUGUUCGGGUUGUCAUGCCAAUGGCACUGCCCGGUAGCUAAAUGCGGAAGAGAUAAGUGCUGAAAGCAUCUAAGCACGAAACUUGCCCCGAGAUGAGUUCU
Molecule: ribosomal RNA, 2771 nt
Filed under: Klebsiella pneumoniae
Lineage: Bacteria; Pseudomonadati; Pseudomonadota; Gammaproteobacteria; Enterobacterales; Enterobacteriaceae
Description: bacterial LSU rRNA
Rfam family: Bacterial large subunit ribosomal RNA
Source: RNAcentral